RNAcentral lists this ribosomal RNA (274 nucleotides) under uncultured bacterium. RNAcentral's name for it is "partial 16S ribosomal RNA". It matches the Rfam family "Bacterial small subunit ribosomal RNA", at positions 523 to 796 of the family's 1533-position model. The record is from RNAcentral.
AUACGGAGGAUCCAAGCGUUAUCCGGAAUCAUUGGGUUUAAAGGGUCCGUAGGUGGAUAAUUAAGUCAGAGGUGAAAUCCUGCAGCUCAACUGUAGCAUUGCCUUUGAUACUGGUUAUCUUGAGUUAUUAUGAAGUAGUUAGAAUAUGUAGUGUAGCGGUGAAAUGCAUAGAUAUUACAUAGAAUACCGAUUGCGAAGGCAGAUUACUGAUAAUAUACUGACACUGAGGGACGAAAGCGUGGGGAGCGAACAGGAUUAGAUACCCCAGUAGUCC